Molecule: ribosomal RNA, 699 nt
Filed under: uncultured Candidatus Saccharibacteria bacterium
Lineage: Bacteria; Candidatus Saccharimonadota
Description: bacterial SSU rRNA
Rfam family: Bacterial small subunit ribosomal RNA
Source: RNAcentral
AGAGUUUGAUCCUGGCUCAGAUGACGCUGGCGGCGCGCCAAAUACAUGCAAGUCGAGCGGUAAGGCCUCUUCGGAGGUACACGAGCGGCGGACGGCUGAGUAACACGUAGGAACGUACCCCAAAGUGAGGGAUAAGCACCAGAAAUGGUGUCUAAUACCGCAUGUGGCCCACGGGCUAAAGCUCCGGCGCUUUGGGAACGGCCUGCGUCCGAUUAGCUAGAUGGUGAGGUAAUGGCUCACCAUGGCGACGAUCGGUAGCUGGUCUGAGAGGAUGAUCAGCCAGACUGGGACUGAGAACGGCCCAGACUCCUACGGGAGGCAGCAGUAGGGAAUUUUCCACAAUGGGCGAAAGCCUGAUGGAGCAACGCCGCGUGCAGGAUGAAUGCCUUCGGGUUGUAAACUGCUUUUAUCUGUGACGAAUAUGACGGUAGCAGAUGAAUAAGGAUCGGCUAACUCCGUGCCAGCAGCCGCGGUCAUACGGAGGAUCCAAGCGUUAUCCGGAAUUACUGGGCGUAAAGAGUUGCGUAGGUGGCAAAGUGUGUCUGUAGUGAAAGCGUGGGGCUCAACCCCAUAUACAUUAUAGAAACUGCUUGGCUAGAGGACGAGAGAGGUUAUUGGAAAUUCCCAGUGUAGGAGUGAAAAUCCGUAGAUAUUGGGAGGAACACCGAUGGCGUAAGCAGAUAACUGGCUCGUUCCUGA